This 253-nucleotide ribosomal RNA is filed under the name uncultured bacterium. RNAcentral describes it as "partial 16S ribosomal RNA". It matches the Rfam family "Bacterial small subunit ribosomal RNA", at positions 524 to 776 of the family's 1533-position model. The record is from RNAcentral.
UACGAAGGGGGCUAGCGUUGCUCGGAAUCACUGGGCGUAAAGCGCACGUAGGCGGACUCUUAAGUCGGCGGUGAAAUCCUGGAGCUCAACUCCAGAACUGCCUUCGAUACUGAGAGUCUCGAGUCCGGGAGAGGUGAGUGGAACUGCGAGUGUAGAGGUGAAAUUCGUAGAUAUUCGCAAGAACACCAGUGGCGAAGGCGGCUCACUGGCCCGGUACUGACGCUGAGGUGCGAAAGCGUGGGGAGCAAACAGG